RNAcentral lists this ribosomal RNA (553 nucleotides) under Physarum andinum. RNAcentral describes it as "SSU rRNA". It matches the Rfam family "Eukaryotic small subunit ribosomal RNA", at positions 28 to 536 of the family's 1831-position model. Lineage: Eukaryota; Evosea; Eumycetozoa; Physariida; Physaraceae. The record is from RNAcentral.
AUGCUUCUCCUAAAGACUAAGCCAUGCAUGCCUCUGAAUAGAAGAGCUUCCUCUUUGAAUCUGCGAACGGCUCCGCAAACCAGUUGUAAACUAUAGCGAGCUUGCUCCGGCGAUGGCCGCAAGGUCCUCGUCGGGGCCAUAAGGAUAACCCUGGUAAUCCUGAGGCUAAUACAAGAUCGUACCCCCUGGCCAACCGGCAACGGAAGGUCGGGGAACGUGUGACAACAGCGCAAAGAUUGCUGGGAAUAGGUGCACGUUCUGACCACCAUACCAAACAGUGGCCUGGAGUUCGGCGUAAGGCUUUCCUGGGUGGCUCUCGCUGUGUGCUUCUGACCUAUCAACUAGAUGGCAGCGUAACGGACAUGCUAUGGUGACAACGGGUACAGAGGAUAAGGGUUCGAUCCUGGAGAGUGGGCCUGAGAGUUUGCUCACACUUCUAAGGAAGGCAGCAGGCGCGCAACGUUCCCCCUGGGCAAAGCUCGAGGGCGUUAGGGGACAUAUGAAUGUCUGCCUCAUGGUGGACAAUUCAAAUGGGUCUGUUCUAAACAGCCUC